RNAcentral lists this ribosomal RNA (253 nucleotides) under uncultured bacterium. Its description in RNAcentral is "partial 16S ribosomal RNA". It matches the Rfam family "Bacterial small subunit ribosomal RNA", at positions 524 to 776 of the family's 1533-position model. The record is from RNAcentral.
UACGGGGGGGGCAAGCGUUGUUCGGAAUUACUGGGCGUAAAGGGCGUGUAGGCGGCCAACUAAGUCCGACGUGAAAUCCCUCGGCUUAACCGGGGAACUGCGUCUGAUACUGGAUGGCUUGAGUUUGGGAGAGGGAUGCGGAAUUCCAGGUGUAGCGGUGAAAUGCGUAGAUAUCUGGAGGAACACCGGUGGCGAAGGCGGCAUCCUGGACCAACACUGACGCUGAGGAGCGAAAGCCAGGGGAGCAAACGGG